CACAAAAUUGGCAUGACCAGAUUGUAUUUGUGUCCAGAGAAACACAUCUAUAUAUUAGAAGAUCAAAGACCUUUCUUCGCCGCAAGGCAUACCAGCAGGAGUACUAGUUUUUGCGGGGAAAUCCCGGCUUCGGCAACAGGAAGAACCCAGUGAAAGCCACUGCUGAAAGCCCAAGUUUUUGCGCGCCCGUUUGCAGCGCUGCUUGGCACAGUUUAUGGCACUUGUGUUACUGACUAACUAGGAAAAGGGGGAGCCAUGCUGCUGUAGAGCCAGUUGGGAGGUGGUUUUGGAUCUAGUAUAAAAAGGGCUCGAAAAUCAGCCAAUAUUAUCACAACUUUUUGAACAGUUGAACUCGUCUAGCCUUCCUUACAGCAAAAAAUGGCCAAAUCGCUUCUUAUGAUUUUGAUGGUGUCUUUGGUGCUGCUGGCAAUUGUCAACGAGUACGGUGGGCUCGUGAAUGGACAGUGCUUUUCAUCCCAAGGCAACUGUUGUCGUUGGCGUUGCGAUGGCGCUGUGAACUGUCGUUGCACAUCUUUCUUUGCUGGAAACUGCGGUGCACCAGACAGGUGUGGUGCAUAAUAACCCUAACCGAAAAAGUAGUUCAGCACUUGUUUUACAUGCAACCGAACUGGACCGAAUUUGUUAUCCGACCAAGAUUAUCCGAAACAAUUACAGAAUUUGAAUAACGGGGAAAAAAAUAAGAAAAUCCAAGUCUGUCCUAUCUAAAUCUUCUUGUUUUAAUUAACCCGAGCAAUAUUUGUAUAAUUGUGGAUAUAUUCAAAUAAUCCACUUGGAUAUAUAUUCAACCUUCCAACUCUGAUAAUACACAUCAUACAAAUGCUCAGCA
This 847-nucleotide long non-coding RNA is filed under the name Daphnia pulex (common water flea). Its description in RNAcentral is "uncharacterized LOC124190397". Lineage: Eukaryota; Metazoa; Arthropoda; Branchiopoda; Diplostraca; Daphniidae. The record is from RNAcentral.